This is a small nuclear RNA of Rana temporaria (common frog), 198 nucleotides long. RefSeq annotates it as U2 spliceosomal RNA. The transcript has a single exon. Lineage: Eukaryota; Metazoa; Chordata; Amphibia; Anura; Ranidae. The record is from RefSeq and is a predicted model, not a curated record.
AUUGUUUCUUGGCAUUUUGGCCUAGAUCAAGUGUAGUAUCUGUUCUUAUCAGUUUUUGGGAGGAAGAAAGCUGGUGCCUCCUAGCAUAGAGGGGGUGCUGGUUAGUAUUUUCCUAAUGUAGUAAUUUGGGAAUGGUGGGAGGGAUCCUUUUCCUUAUGGAUUGAAUCUGGCCUGGUCAGAAGGCAGGAUUCUCCCUAA